GAGUAUAGCCAGAGAUGGUCUAGAGACUAUGAGAUGCAUAGAUUGUGAAAGUGGAAAGAUGAGAUUGAGAUGUGAGACUGGAGUCAGAUUUAAGGCAAGUAUCCUAAACCUUUCUCUUGGAUAUAUUGCAAAUAUUCUGAUCCAUUCCUUUGGUAUAUGUUUCAAGUAUUCAUACCUUUCUUUUCAAUGUUCGAAAGUGCGAGUAUUCUGACCCAUUCUUUCUAAUCUUCAAGUUUCUAAAGAAUUUCCGUUUUACAAAUUAAUUCGAAGUUCAGAUUGUCAUUGAAGCAUGUGUUGCUCAGUGAUAGUUAGAGCUUUGAAUGAAUUGGGAUCUUCUUGAUUAUUCAACCCGCCAUUGUCAUGCUGGUUUAGCAGGCUAAAUUCAGUUGCUUAGCCGAUAAUGGAGGAUACUGAAUAGUUGAGGAUUUCCUGAACUGUGAUUUAUGAAAUGAUGGAUCAUGAUUUAUGAAUAGAUUAUUAUCAAAGUUUGAAUUGGAAUUAUUCUGUUGUUGAUGAUAUUUAUGAUGAUGUUCUGUUGAUUUACAUUGGCUUCUUGAAUUGAAUUAGAGAAUUGGAUUAUUGUUUUUAUAUAAACCUGUGGACCAGAUUCGUGGUCAUGUUAGGCCAAUGAGUGCCUUGGAUCCAGUGAUAGAGCAUGGCGGGGCCUGCUCGGGGUUAGGUAUGACUGAUCAGCAUCCUGACCUUGGUUUUUAAUUAAAAAUGUGAUAGUCCAAUUCAAUAAUUCUCUUGUGAAGGAUUGAAUUCCUCAGGUUUCUAUUGCUGCAAGGUAUUGUGAUUCUUUUAUACAAUACCUAAAUUUGUGAACUCAGGUUGAAUCUUUUUAUAUCUUGAACUCGAGAAUUUCUGUUAUAUCACUUCAGAACUUUCAUUGUUAUUAUUACUUGCUGAGCAUUGUUGCUCACUCUUGCUAUUCUCUUUUAACCAUUUCAGAAAAGCUUAAAGAUGAGAUGAUUGAUUGAGAUUGUGGAUAAGGCUAAUGCUAGGCGAGGAGACAGAGUUGAGGAGGAGACAGAGUUGAGGAUCCAGUGGUCAGGGAGUGGUGAGGAAAGUUGAUGAGAUUGGUGCAAGCUGGAAUAGUUGACAGUGAUUCUUCUUAUCGAAGAUGAUCUGACUUGGUAAGAAAUAUUGUAUAGUAUUAGUGGUGGAUUCUAAUUUCAAUACUGUAACCUGGAAGCGAUCCUGUUGUUUUGGGGGUUAAAUGUUCUCUUAAAAUUUUCUUAUUAUGGUUUUCAAGUUUGAAAUUCAGGUUUUGAAAUCAUUUGAUUUAUGUUCUCAUUCAAAGUUUUUAUUAAAUGUUUUCAAGUUUUAAAUUCUUUUGGAUUUUCAUUAUCUUUAAAUGAAAAUACCAGGUUUCAAAAGUAUUUUAAAAAGGGUUUUGUGUGGUGACGUCAGAAUCCAGACCCCCGGAUUCUCGGAAUGUCACAGUAUUAGUAAGAGAAUGAACAUGCAUAAACUGACUGAUAACAAAUAUUUUCUCCGUCUGUUUUUAGUUGUCACAUUUUAUUUUUGCUGGUUAAAUUGACUGAGUUUUGACCAAAGAUUAUAAAUUUUGUAAAUUCUUUAUAAAAAUAAAUAAUUAUCCUAUAUUCGAUAUAUCUUCUGUCCCAACAGAUUCUUUACGUUAUUUUUUAAAAUGUAUUUUAAAAUUCCUAUAAAUACAAUUCUAUAAUAUAAAAUAUAUGAUUAUAUAUAUAUACACACAUAUAUUUAUAUAUAAUAUACAAUAUAUAUUUAUAUAUAUAAUAUACAUAGACUACCGCAAAUGUAAACCAUCCCUUAAAUACAAACUAAAAACCAAUCCAAUUUAAAAUGUAGCGACAUUCUCUUUAGAAUGUGUGAUUUGUGUUACAAAAUUUGGUGAAAACAUCCUGAAAAUGGUGAAAACCUCCAGAUAUGUUCUUGUUGUCAAUUCAAUUGGUGGUGGCGGUGGCGCAGAGAGUGGAGGUGAAGGGGGAGGCGGAGGUGGUGGACAUGAAACGAGUUUUUGGCUCUAUUCGACAGAUUCCGUAAAAAUAUAGAAGCGAAAUUGGCAGUAAAGCGAGGACAAUGGUACUCGAGGUGCAAACGAUCGUGGUGAGGUGGGGGGACGGUAGGUGAGGUGGAUUUGGUGGUGAUAAGGCGGGGGCGGGCGUUAUUAGGUGGUCCCAAUACCAUAACUUUAUCAUUACUAGUGACUACUUAACACCAUCACACACCUAUUCUCAUCACUUACUAUUAUUAUUAACGUCCUACGACUACAAUUGACCAUCAAUAAUCGACAACAGAUAAUUAAAUUAAAUAAUUUUUUUAUCAUAGAAAAUAAAAAUUACUAAUUUUACCGUGUAAAAUGGUGAUAAUGAAGUAUGAACAGAUG
This 2374-nucleotide long non-coding RNA is filed under the name Daucus carota (carrot). RNAcentral describes it as "long non-coding RNA (DCAR_LNC001411)". Lineage: Eukaryota; Viridiplantae; Streptophyta; Magnoliopsida; Apiales; Apiaceae. The record is from RNAcentral.